RNAcentral lists this unclassified non-coding RNA (2371 nucleotides) under Hevea brasiliensis (rubber tree). The record is from RNAcentral. Lineage: Eukaryota; Viridiplantae; Streptophyta; Magnoliopsida; Malpighiales; Euphorbiaceae.
GAGUUGAGUUGAGUUGUAUAAUAAGUUGAGAUUUUUCACUUGAUAAGAACCUAUAAUUAGUUUCUAACAGUAACUUUAAGGUAUAUGGUUUUGAUAAGUUGGUCCGACAAAUAUGCUUUUCAUAACUCAUUUGUUCCUUAUAAACUCUUUAUGGCAUUUGACCAGUUUAUUACAAGACCAACAGAUUCCCCUGCACCCCAACCUUCAUCUGGUGAUAGAAAUCAUGUUAUAUAAUAAGUUUUCCUUAAUUCUCAUGUCCUCUUUCAGUUCUCAUGUAUGAUACUAAAAAUAUGAAUUUCAAACAUAUGAAUUAAACCUUGUUUGGAAAAUUCCAUAAAAGUCUCAUAGCAAGCCUUGAUGCCAAAUUCACACCAUGCCUAGUUGCCUUAACAGUGGUUUUUCCUGCAAAGUUCUAGUUCUGAUUCUUGAGCUUGAAUCAUAUCUCAUGCUAUUAAUUAAGGAUGUAGAAAGAUGUUAAAUGACCAACUCCCAUACUGUAUACUCCUAAAUGUCUUUGUGGAUUGAAAUACUCAGAAAUUUUCACUCUUUAAAGCUUCCAAUAGACUAUCUCCUCUAAAAGACAAGCAUAUAGCAGUAGUGUGCUUCUGUGACAUGAGGUAGCCAUUGUUAGGAUUUAGACUCCUAGGUGAAUGCCAGUUUUGCACGAAUCAAUUUGCGUAGAGUGUAAAUCUGCUCAGUCUCGCAAACAGCUGGGUUUAGUUUCAAUUAAUCAUGAGAUGAUUAUUUUUGUUUAUCUAAACUGCAAUCCAAAGAUUAAUCUUUCUUACAAAAUGCCAUCGGAAAUAGAAUAGAAUAAAAAUUUCAGUCUCUAUGCAGCUUCUUGCUAAUGUGAUUGUUUUUUUCUCUUGAUGUGAAUCGUUUGGCAAUGUGAUAUAUGGCUUUAACUGUUCUCAGGAUCCAAGAGUUGAGUUGAGUCUCUUGGUGGUUGAAUUUUUCUCACUAAUGCUCAAUCACACAUGUCCUGGCCCUAGUAGCCCUGAAAAGGCAUUCUUAUGAAUAAAAUGCAUUUCAAUUUAACAUAAGCCUUGAGAGCUAGCUUGUUCUAUGUUAAUCAGUCAGCCUAUUUCAUACCUUUAUCAGUCUUUUGUUCUAACCUACUUCCAAGUGUCGUAUUGCUGUUGAUUUAUGUAGUAAAAUUUAACGUUCAAAUGCUAGUUCUCUCUCAUUUGGAAGAGUUUUUAGUCUAAUGUAAUACCAAUAUUCUACUAGGGCCUUUACAUAGAUAAUAUGCUAAGAAUUUUUUGCAGGAAUUUGCUCCAGAAACAGUGGAAUCAUGCAUCUACAAGGGUCACCUGAGCCAGCAGUUACUGCAAGUGAAGAUUUGAUUUCAGUUCAAUUUUACAAGAACUCUGCCUAUGAGGGUGAUGGACGUGGCUCUAGCUCACCAAGGUGUGUAUUCCUUGUAUUUGUUCUUGUUGCAGUAUUAAUCAAGUUAUCAAUGCAUUUUGUCGUGGUAGACAUGAAUCUUUCAUGCACACUAGAUGCUGAUUAUGAGAAUGCAAGAAGACAUCGCUACUCUCUCUCAUUCAUUUGUUAAGCCUACAUUUUGUGUGUACACAGUUUGGUGGAAGGCCAAGUUUCAGGUUCAGAAUUGAGUAAGAAGAAGUAGAGUUGCCUAAUUUCCUGUUCCAUCUGUAAAAUUUUGCCGACAUCUGCAGCAUGGAAGCUAAGUUAGACUCGAAUAACUUAUCCUUUGUAAACUGAAGCCUAGGCAGCAGCGCUUGAACCAAUCUGAUUUUUGUAUAGAUGUGGGCAGAAACCAAGUUUGGAGAGAUGUUUGUCAAAUAGGUAGUUUGGUACAGUAAUUAACCUGUAAGGUUAUAAGUAUUUCUUGCCAGAUUUUGUGUUGCCAUGUGAAAUCAUUUAGUAACUUCGAGCCUUACAUGUGUAAUUCUACAAGGUUUUUAUAGUCCUAAAACAAAGAAUGUUGGGCGUUGCCCAAGAACACAAAAGAAGCUGAGGUCGGUACAUAAAAUGAAAGGGUGAUCCUACGCUUCCCAGCCCAACCAAAAAUGGCUGCCCUAGAACACUGCUCCUGAGCAGCUACAAAGCUCCACCUGUGCUUGAAGUUGGGCUUUAUCCAAAUACAUCUCCAAUUCCAACAUAAGUAGGUUGUAAUCGUGAAAGAUGUGUCAACGGCUCAAGCCUCAAGCACCUUUAAUGGCUCCUGUGUGUCAAUGUCAUCACUUAAAUUGGAGUUUCCAUGAGCAGUAGUAGUUCUGAUUUCUCAGAAAUAAUUGAAAAUUGUCUAAUCUGUCUCUCGAAAUUCUAAAACGUGGAUAAAUCAAUAAGGUGGGAGUGUGGCUAUAAAUGUUAUGAAUUGAAAAGAAGUAUAUAGAAAGAAAUAAUA